This 941-nucleotide ribosomal RNA is filed under the name uncultured Oxalobacteraceae bacterium. Its description in RNAcentral is "bacterial SSU rRNA". It matches the Rfam family "Bacterial small subunit ribosomal RNA", at positions 57 to 994 of the family's 1533-position model. Lineage: Bacteria; Pseudomonadati; Pseudomonadota; Betaproteobacteria; Burkholderiales; Oxalobacteraceae. The record is from RNAcentral.
GCAAGUCGAACGGCAGCACGGGCUUCGGUCUGGUGGCGAGUGGCGAACGGGUGAGUAAUAUAUCGGAACAUACCCUAGAGUGGGGGAUAACGUAGCGAAAGUUACGCUAAUACCGCAUACGAACUAAGGUUGAAAGUGGGGGAUCGCAAGACCUCAUGCUCAUGGAGUGGCCGAUAUCUGAUUAGCUAGUUGGUGAGGUAAUGGCUCACCAAGGCGACGAUCAGUAGCUGGUCUGAGAGGACGACCAGCCACACUGGAACUGAGACACGGUCCAGACUCCUACGGGAGGCAGCAGUGGGGAAUUUUGGACAAUGGGGGCAACCCUGAUCCAGCAAUGCCGCGUGAGUGAAGAAGGCCUUCGGGUUGUAAAGCUCUUUUGUCAGGGAAGAAACGGUGAGUUCUAAUACAACUUGCUAAUGACGGUACCUGAAGAAUAAGCACCGGCUAACUACGUGCCAGCAGCCGCGGUAAUACGUAGGGUGCAAGCGUUAAUCGGAAUUACUGGGCGUAAAGCGUGCGCAGGCGGUUAUAUAAGUCAGAUGUGAAAUCCCCGGGCUCAACCUGGGAACUGCAUUUGAGACUGUAUGGCUAGAGUGUGUCAGAGGGGGGUAGAAUUCCACGUGUAGCAGUGAAAUGCGUAGAGAUGUGGAGGAAUACCGAUGGCGAAGGCAGCCCCCUGGGAUAACACUGACGCUCAUGCACGAAAGCAUGGGGAGCAAACAGGAUUAGAUACCCUGGUAGUCCACGCCCUAAACGAUGUCUACUAGUUGUCGGGACUUAAUUGUCUUGGUAACGCAGCUAACGCGUGAAGUAGACCGCCUGGGGAGUACGGUCGCAAGAUUAAAACUCAAAGGAAUUGACGGGGACCCGCACAAGCGGUGGAUGAUGUGGAUUAAUUCGAUGCAACGCGAAAAACCUUACCUACCCCUGACAUGGUUGGA